GAAGAAGGAAAUAGACUAUUCUUAGUCUUAGGGGUUGAUUAAUAAUUGAGUACUAUUCGGUCGUUUUCUAGAAAUAUUCAUUUUUGUCAUCUAUCUACUUUAUCUAAUUUCUUGUUAGAUACGCACUUUUUAUUCAUUUAAAUUAUUCAUUUAAAAUAAAUGAAAAUUACAAUCCAGGGCGGA
This 183-nucleotide transfer RNA is filed under the name Eranthemum tetragonum. RNAcentral describes it as "partial tRNA-His". Lineage: Eukaryota; Viridiplantae; Streptophyta; Magnoliopsida; Lamiales; Acanthaceae. The record is from RNAcentral.